CGGUGGAUGCCUAGGCAGUUAGAGGCGAUGAAGGACGUGUAAGUCUGCGAAAAGCUGUGGUGAGCCGACAAAAUGCAUUUGAGCCACAGAUGUCCGAAUGGGGAAACCCAGUGCAUUUAUGCACUAUCUGCAACUGAAUACAUAGGUUGUAGAGGCAAACGAGGGGAACUGAAACAUCUAAGUACCCUUAGGAAAAGAAAUCAACCGAGAUUUCCCUAGUAGCGGCGAGCGAACGGGAAUUAGCCCUUAAGCUAAUUGUAAGCCAGUGGAAUGUGUUGGAAAGCACAACGGUACAAGGUGAUAGUCCUGUACACAAAGGCGAGCUUUAAGUGAAAUCGAGUAGGUCGGGACACGUGUUAUCUUGACUGAAUAUGGGGGGACCAUCCUCCAAGGCUAAAUACUCCUAACUGACCGAUAGUGAACCAGUACCGUGAGGGAAAGGCGAAAAGAACCCCUGUGAGGGGAGUGAAAUAGAACCUGAAACCGUAUACGUACAAGCAGUGGGAGCAGACUUGUUCUGUGACUGCGUACCUUUUGUAUAAUGGGUCAGCGACUUAUAUUUUGUAGCAAGGUUAACCGAAUAGGGGAGCCGUAGUGAAAGCGAGCGUUAACUGCGCGUCUAGUUGCAAGGUAUAGACCCGAAACCCGGUGAUCUAGCCAUGGGCAGGUUGAAGGUUGAGUAACAUCAACUGGAGGACCGAACCCACUGACGUUGAAAAGUCAGGGGAUGACCUGUGGCUGGGGGUGAAAGGCCAAUCAAACCGGGAGAUAGCUGGUUCUCCCCGAAAUCUAUUUAGGUAGAGCCUCGGACGAAUUCCAUUGGGGGUAGAGCACUGUUAAGGCUAGGGGGUCAUCCCGACUUACCAACCCUUUGCAAACUCCGAAUACCCAUGAGUGCUAUCCGGGAGACACACGGCGGGUGCUAACGUCCGUCGUGGAGAGGGAAACAACCCAGACCGCCAGCUAAGGUCCCAAAAUAUUGCUAAGUGGGAAACGAUGUGGGAAGGCUAAGACAGCUAGGAGGUUGGCUUAGAAGCAGCCACCCUUUAAAGAAAGCGUAAUAGCUCACUGGUCGAGAUUGUCCGCGCCGUAAAUAUAACGGGGCUCAAGCAUGCCGCCGAAGCCGUAGACGUUUUCGAACGUGGUAGGGGAGCGUUCC
RNAcentral lists this ribosomal RNA (1159 nucleotides) under Eutreptiella gymnastica. RNAcentral describes it as "partial Bacterial large subunit ribosomal RNA". It matches the Rfam family "Bacterial large subunit ribosomal RNA", at positions 22 to 1242 of the family's 2925-position model. Lineage: Eukaryota; Euglenozoa; Euglenophyceae; Eutreptiales; Eutreptiaceae. The record is from RNAcentral.